AUCAGCACUUCCGGAUCCGGCGGCGCUAGAAGCGGCCCCUCUUUCUUAGGCUUCUCUAGCACCCCAGGAUGGUCCUCUUCUUCGUCUCUUCCUUCCUCCUGGGCGUUUCCUCGAAGUUCUUAUCUUUUUAACCCAAGUAGCCAGAUUACAGCUAGUGGCCAGCAUCUAUACAAUUGAGGCUGUUACGAGGAAAGACCUUUAUAAACAUGAAGAUACCAUGGGAGUUCCGAGAUACAUCAAUUUGAAACAUCAAAUCCAUGUUAAGCAUAAAAGAGAUUGAAUGAAAGGAUGCC
Molecule: non-coding RNA, 293 nt
Organism: Phascolarctos cinereus (koala)
Lineage: Eukaryota; Metazoa; Chordata; Mammalia; Diprotodontia; Phascolarctidae
Source: RefSeq, a predicted model, not a curated record